This 1428-nucleotide ribosomal RNA is filed under the name metagenome. RNAcentral describes it as "bacterial SSU rRNA". It matches the Rfam family "Bacterial small subunit ribosomal RNA". The record is from RNAcentral.
UAACGCGGGGGCAACCCUGGCGACGAGUGGCGAACGGGUGAGUAAUACAUCGGAACAUAUCCAGUAGCGGGGGAUAACCUAUCGAAAGAUGGACUAAUACCGCAUACGAUCUACGGAUGAAAGCAGGGGACCGCAAGGCCUUGCACUAUUGGAGUGGCCGAUGUCGGAUUAGCUAGUUGGUGGGGUAAAAGCUUACCAAGGCGACGAUCCGUAGCUGGUCUGAGAGGACGAUCAGCCACACUGGAACUGAGACACGGUCCAGACUCCUACGGGAGGCAGCAGUGGGGAAUUUUGGACAAUGGGCGCAAGCCUGAUCCAGCCAUGCCGCGUGAGUGAAGAAGGCCUUCGGGUUGUAAAGCUCUUUCGGUGAAGACGAAACGGUUCAUGCUAAUAACGUGAACUAAUGACGGUACUCACAGAAGAAGCACCGGCUAACUACGUGCCAGCAGCCGCGGUAAUACAUAGGGUGCAGGCGUUAAUCGGAAUUACUGGGCGUAAAGCGUGCGCAGGCGGUUUGCUAAGACAGGUGUGAAAUCCCCGGGCUUAACCUGGGAAUUGCGCUUGUAACUGGCAAGCUAGAGUGUGGCAGAGGGGGGUGGAAUUCCACGUGUAGCAGUGAAAUGCGUAGAUAUGUGGAGGAACACCGAUGGCGAAGGCAGCCCCCUGGGUUAACACUGACGCUCAUGCACGAAAGCGUGGGGAGCAAACAGGAUUAGAUACCCUGGUAGUCCACGCCCUAAACUAUGUCAACUAGUUGUCGGGGAAGAAAUUCCUUGGUAACGAAGCUAACGCGUGAAGUUGACCGCCUGGGGAGUACGGCCGCAAGGUUAAAACUCAAAGGAAUUGACGGGGACCCGCACAAGCGGUGGAUUAUGUGGAUUAAUUCGAUGCAACGCGAAAAACCUUACCUACCCUUGACAUGCUAGGAAGCCCGCAGAGAUGUGGGUGUGCCCGAAAGGGAACCUAGACACAGGUGCUGCAUGGCUGUCGUCAGCUCGUGUCGUGAGAUGUUGGGUUAAGUCCCGCAACGAGCGCAACCCUUGCCAUUAGUUGCUACAUUCAGUUGGGCACUCUAAUGGGACCGCCGGUCACAAACCGGAGGAAGGUGGGGAUGACGUCAAGUCCUCAUGGCCCUUAUGGGUAGGGCUUCACACGUAAUACAAUGGUCGGUACAGGGCUCCAACCCGCAAGGGGGAGCUAAUCCCAGAAAGCCGAUCGUAGUCCGGAUUGUAGUCUGCAACUCGACUGCAUGAAGCCGGAAUCGCUAGUAAUCGCGGAUCAGCAUGUCGCGGUGAAUACGUUCCCGGGUCUUGUACACACCGCCCGUCACACCAUGGGAGUGGGUUCCACCAGAAGUAGUUAGCCUAACCGCAAGGAGGGCGAUUACCACGGUGAGAUUCAUGACUGGGGUGAAGUCGUAACAAGGUA